RNAcentral lists this ribosomal RNA (218 nucleotides) under uncultured bacterium. Its description in RNAcentral is "partial 16S ribosomal RNA". It matches the Rfam family "Bacterial small subunit ribosomal RNA", at positions 524 to 734 of the family's 1533-position model. The record is from RNAcentral.
UACGAAAGGAGCAAGUGUUAUUCAGAUUAACUGGGCGUAAAGGGCACGUAGGUGGUUUGUUUAUGUGUAUUAUUAAAUUAUAAAAGCAUAACUUUAUAAUGUAGUAUAAACAGCAAAACUAGAGUUAGGUAGGAGAGGUAGUUAGAAUUUCUAAAUGUAAAAGGUGAAAUUUGAUAAAAUUAGAGAGAAUACCAAAUGGCGUAAGCAACUACUUGGAC